RNAcentral lists this ribosomal RNA (457 nucleotides) under uncultured bacterium. RNAcentral's name for it is "partial 16S ribosomal RNA". It matches the Rfam family "Bacterial small subunit ribosomal RNA", at positions 338 to 795 of the family's 1533-position model. The record is from RNAcentral.
CCUACGGGAGGCUGCAGUGGGGAAUAUUGCACAAUGGGGGAAACCCUGAUGCAGCGACGCCGCGUGAGUGAAGAAGUAUUUCGGUACGUAAAGCUCUAUCAGCAGGGAAGAAAAAAAGUCCUUUGGUCUUUGGACGGUACCUGACUACGAAGCCCCGGCUAACUACGUGCCAGCAGCCGCGGUAAUACGGAGGGGGCAAGCGUUAUCCGGAUUUACUGGGUGUAAAGGGAGCGUAGACGGCAGCGCAAGUCUGGAGUGAAAUGCCGGGGCCCAACCCCGGAACUGCGUUGGAAACUGUGCAGCUGGAGUGCAGGAGAGGUAAGCGGAAUUCCUAGUGUAGCGGUGAAAUGCGUAGAGAUUAGGAGGAACACCAGUGGCGAAGGCGGCUUACUGGACUGUAACUGACGUUGAGGCUCGAAAGCGUGGGGAGCAAACAGGAUUAGAUACCCUUGUAGUC